AGGAUUCUCCUAGUAACGGCGAGUGAACGGAGAUUAGCCCAUCACCGAAGCCUGUGUGUGUUUGCAUGCUAGGCAAUGUGGUGUUAAAGCUUGUACCUGGGAUCGUGUACCUACCCGAAGUCUAAAUCCGAUUGUGGCUUUGGAUUCAUUCCAUAGCGGGUGAAAGUCCCGUGCGGGUAGGACUCAUUCGAAUCACAUGGUCCUCAGAUGUGCAUGCUUUCGAGUCGGAUUGCUUGAGAAUGCAGUCCAAAGUGGGUGGUAAACUCCAUCCAAGGCUAAAUACUGGCACGAGUCCGAUAGUAGACAAGUACCGUGAGGGAAAGUUGAAAAGUACUCUGAAGAGAGAGUAAAUAGUACGUGAAGCCGAUUGCAGGGAAGCUGGUGGAGUCAAGCUUCGUGCUUGAGGGAUUGAUGCUGGGAGCAGGUGUGUGAUUUGGAUGUGAGGUUGGACGACUUGGAAUAAGUUGGGCGUGUUCUGAAUGCGCUUCAAGUCAUUCUGGGUAGAGUGUUAUGAGCCCUCCUCGCUUUCCUACUCUCAGUGUUGUAUUCUUCGCUGCACAGGCCACAGUCAAUAGGUGCAUGCGGUAUGAAGGCCUAACUGUGCUUCGGCGGGUGCAAGCUCUCCAGGUGCAGGAUGGCAGGUGCUGUCUUCGAGCCUAGUGUUCGUUGAUAGUUGUUGUGGUUUUGACCGGCUGGUCUUCAUACUGUAUUGUACUUAUUGCCUAUCAAUGGCGUAUCUUCCUUGGAAGUUGCGUUGUGAAGAACUGUGGCUCUGAGGUAGAC
RNAcentral lists this small RNA (783 nucleotides) under Cichlidogyrus douellouae. RNAcentral describes it as "eukaryotic LSU rRNA". It matches the Rfam family "Eukaryotic large subunit ribosomal RNA", at positions 71 to 618 of the family's 3401-position model. Lineage: Eukaryota; Metazoa; Platyhelminthes; Monogenea; Dactylogyridea; Ancyrocephalidae. The record is from RNAcentral.